AUUGAACGCUGGCGGCAUGCCUUACACAUGCAAGUCGAACGGUAACAGCUCUUCGGAGGCUGACGAGUGGCGAACGGGUGAGUAAUACAUCGGAACGUGCCCGAUCGUGGGGGAUAACGGAGCGAAAGCUUUGCUAAUACCGCAUACGAUCUACGGAUGAAAGCAGGGGACCCUCGGGCCUUGCGCGAACGGAGCGGCCGAUGGCAGAUUAGGUAGUUGGUGGGAUAAAAGCUUACCAAGCCGACGAUCUGUAGCUGGUCUGAGAGGACGACCAGCCACACUGGGACUGAGACACGGCCCAGACUCCUACGGGAGGCAGCAGUGGGGAAUUUUGGACAAUGGGCGAAAGCCUGAUCCAGCAAUGCCGCGUGCAGGAUGAAGGCCUUCGGGUUGUAAACUGCUUUUGUACGGAACGAAAAGUCCCGGGAUAACACCUCGGGACCAUGACGGUACCGUAAGAAUAAGCACCGGCUAACUACGUGCCAGCCGCCGCAGUAAAAC
This 501-nucleotide ribosomal RNA is filed under the name uncultured bacterium. RNAcentral's name for it is "bacterial SSU rRNA". It matches the Rfam family "Bacterial small subunit ribosomal RNA", at positions 30 to 526 of the family's 1533-position model. The record is from RNAcentral.